GAGUUUGAUCUUGGCUCAGGAUGAACGCUGGCGGCGUGCCUAAUACAUGCAAGUCGAGCGAACGGACGAGAAGCUUGCUUCUCUGAUGUUAGCGGCGGACGGGUGAGUAACACGUGGAUAACCUACCUAUAAGACUGGGAUAACUUCGGGGAAACCGGAGCUAAUACCGGAUAAUAUUUUGAACCGCAUGGUUCAAAAGUAAAAGACGGUCUUGCUGUCACUUAUAGAUGGAUCCGCGCUGCAUUAGCUAGUUGGUAAGGUAACGGCUUACCAAGGCAACGAUGCAUAGCCGACCUGAGAGGGUGAUCGGCCACACUGGAACUGAGACACGGUCCAGACUCCUACGGGAGGCAGCAGUAGGGAAUCUUCCGCAAUGGGCGAAAGCCUGACGGAGCAACGCCGCGUGAGUGAUGAAGGUCUUCGGAUCGUAAAACUCUGUUAUUAGGGAAGAACAUAUGUGUAAGUAACUGUGCACAUCUUGACGGUACCUAAUCAGAAAGCCACGGCUAACUACGUG
This 517-nucleotide ribosomal RNA is filed under the name uncultured microorganism. Its description in RNAcentral is "bacterial SSU rRNA". It matches the Rfam family "Bacterial small subunit ribosomal RNA", at positions 9 to 507 of the family's 1533-position model. The record is from RNAcentral.